Molecule: ribosomal RNA, 419 nt
Filed under: uncultured bacterium
Lineage: Bacteria
Description: partial 16S ribosomal RNA
Rfam family: Bacterial small subunit ribosomal RNA
Source: RNAcentral
UAUUGGACAAUGGUCGAUAGCCUGAUCGAGCCAUGCCGCGUGUGUGAAGAAGGACUUCGGUUUGUAAAGCACUUUAUGUUGGGAGGAAGAGUAGUAAGUUAAUACCUUGCUGUUUUUACGUUACCGACUAAAUAAGCACUGGCGUACUUCUUGACAGCAGCCGCGGUAAUACGAAGGGUGCAAGCGUUAAUCGGAAUUACUGGGCGUAAAGAGCGCGUAGGUUAUUUGUUAAGUUGGAAGUGAAAGCCCCGAGCUCAACCUGGGAACUGCUUGCAAAACUGGCUAGCUAGAGUAUGGCAGAGGGUGGUGGAAUUUCCUGUGUAGCGGUGAAAUGCGUAGAUAUAGGAAGGAACACCAGUGGCGAAGGCGACCACCUGGGCUAAUACUGACACUGAGGUGCGAAAGCGUGGGGAGCAAAC